Molecule: non-coding RNA, 29 nt
Filed under: Homo sapiens (human)
Lineage: Eukaryota; Metazoa; Chordata; Mammalia; Primates; Hominidae
Source: RNAcentral
UGUGAGUAAGGGGACAGUGGUUGUGCUGU